GCUAGCGUAGCUUACACAAAGCGUAACACUGAAGAUGUUAAGACGGACCGUAGAAAGUCCCACAAGCA
RNAcentral lists this transfer RNA (68 nucleotides) under Macrochirichthys macrochirus (sward minnow). RNAcentral describes it as "tRNA-Phe". The record is from RNAcentral. Lineage: Eukaryota; Metazoa; Chordata; Actinopteri; Cypriniformes; Xenocyprididae.